Long non-coding RNA from Saccostrea cuccullata (small rock oyster), 970 nucleotides. RefSeq lists it as uncharacterized. NCBI's taxonomy places the organism in Eukaryota, Metazoa, Mollusca, Bivalvia, Ostreida, Ostreidae. The record is from RefSeq and is a predicted model, not a curated record. The transcript is spliced from 2 exons.
AUUGAUAAAAUUUAAUGAAGAAGGUUAAGAUUUGUAUUAAAUAUCCAAUAAAUGGAUAUUUACCAGAUUUAUAACUCAUUACACCUAAAUUAUCAGUAAUGCAUACUGGAACAACUGUGCAAUAAUUCGAAUGAAAUUUUACAGAAGUUUGCUAAAUUACAGGUUUUUGUCAGCUUAUCUGGAAAUCUUAGGACAUCACUGAUAUGAUCAAAAACUCAUCCAGCGUGAAGACCAGCCAUGUGCCUCACUUGUCAUGACAUCAUUAAAGCACCUGACUGUGGGAAGAUGGGAUUUAAAACAUGACAUGGCUCUGUAUUAUUGCAUCAAAGACCAAUCCAGGUUUACGUAUAAAGUGAAGGAAAACAGUCAAGCAUCAUUUGGAGCCACGUGUACAUAUGUAACUGCCUAGGCGCCUUCACAAUAUGUCCUGUUAUUUAAGAAAUCACAGUGACCAGUUGUACCUAUGAUGUCGGACGAGGUCCCGAUAAAAACUUCUGUUGCACUCAUCACUAACUGCAAAGAAAUGAAAUUUUUAAAUGACUAGUAUCAACACUUUUGUACUAAAUCUGGCUUGUAUUUUCAGAUCUUGUUAGCCUUUAUUUUCCUUCAAACAAAAUUUUAUAAGUACUAACCUGCAGGUGUAAAAUGUUUGAAACAAUUUGCAGCAGUUGAUUCACUUGAUUGAGGUCACAAUUCCACCGGCAAAGAUUACAUUGGGUAUUUGUAGCUGAAUGGUGCCAAAUAAAACACUUUUCACAAGAACCUGGCAAAUGUAUUAGAGUGGAAGUGAGCAUCUACACAAAAAAUGAAUACUUUCUCAAAUAUUAACAGUGAUAUAUUAUGCCUGUGUACAUCCUUAAUAUAUUAAUAUAUAACUAAUUACACAAGUAACUAGCAAAUAUACAAUGUCAACUUCCUUAAUUUUUUUCUCAAGUUCAUGUAUAGUGUAUCAAAAUAAACAUGCAAUAUU